This 6120-nucleotide long non-coding RNA is filed under the name Phoenix dactylifera (date palm). RNAcentral's name for it is "long non-coding RNA (PDAC_LNC005622)". Lineage: Eukaryota; Viridiplantae; Streptophyta; Magnoliopsida; Arecales; Arecaceae. The record is from RNAcentral.
UAACUGAAAUGUUUACUCGAUUCACAGAAAUCAUAAAUGGGCUAAAAAGUUUAGGAAAGUCUUAUACUAACUCUGAUUUAGUGCGAAAAAUUCUCAGGUCUCUACCAAGAGUUUGGAAGGCCAAAGUAACAGCAAUUCAAGAAGCAAAGGACCUCAAUACAUUGCAAUUGGAAGAACUUCUAGGAUCACUCAUGAUCCAUGAGUUGACCAUGAGGCAAAAUUCAGAAGAUGAGGUCAAGAAAAGAAAGACCAUUGCCUUGAAGUCCACUACUCCAAAACAGAAAACUGAAUCAGAAGAAUCUGAUGAUGAGGAGGAAUAUGAUGAAGAAGGAAUGGCUAUGCUUGGAAGAAAAUUCAGAAAAUUCAUGAGAGAAAAGAAGAAAUUUCAUAAAAGGAAGCCAAAGGACCCAAAAGGAACAUCAAUCACUAACCCUAAAGGACCCAACAUAGUUUGGGUACCUAAAGCUUAUUCUUGAUCUUGAUUGCAGGAGUGUCUUGCAGCUAAUAAGUGUUAAAGCACACAAUAGUUUUAGAGAGCCAAAAACAGCCUACCUCUCCUUUGGGAGUUGUACAUUAUAUAGAAGUUUACAAGCCUAAUAAUUAGGGAUUUACAGCUAGGGUACAGAUAGCUAGGGUGCAGAUAUGUAAUUUGCCAAAUAAGUAAAGAAUAUAUCUAGUAAUAAUAUAAAACUUAUUUAUANNNNNNNNNNNNNNNNNNNNNNNNNNNNNGAUUUUGUGCCAUAAAUUACUAUCAUUAACAUCCCCCCUCAAAUUGAUGCUGGGAGAUCGACCAGCAACAAUUUGCCAACAAGAAAUUGAUGCCGCUGCCUAGUCAUAGCUUUGGUGAAGACAUCAGCCACCUGAAGGUCAGUAGAAAUAUAAGGAAGAGAGAUCACUCGCCGGUCAAAGGCUUCACGAAUAUAGUGACAAUCGACCUCAAUGUGCUUGGUUCGCUCAUGGUAAACAGAUUGGCUGCAAUUUGUAUAGCACUAGUGUUAUCAACAUGAAGCGAAGUAGGAUGAUCUGGGGGAAAACCAAGCUCCGUAAGAAGACCACGCAACCAUACAAUUUCAGAACAAGCAGCCGACAUGGCACGAUAUUCAGCCUCGGUGGAUGAUUUGGACACACAAUCUUGUUUCUUACAUUUCCAAGAAAUCAAUGCACCACCAAGGAACAUACACCACCCCGUCGUAGACCGGCGAGUAUCCGGACACCCUGCCCAAUCCGCAUCACUAUAAGCCGUAAGUUGAGAGGAGAACCAGCUGGAAAGAAAAGCCCACGGGUAGGAGUUCCGCGCAGAUAGCGUAUAAUGCGACGAACGGCAGCCAAGUGAAGAUGCCGAGGAGAGUUCAUAAACUGGCUAACUGUAUGAACGGCAUAGGAGAUGUCUGGCCGAGUAAUAGUUAAGUAAAUAAGAGUCCCAACAAGUUUUCGAUAAAGAGUUGGAUCAGAUAGAAGGUCUCCUUCAGCCUUCCUAUACUUGACAUUCACCUCCAAAGGAGUAUCAAUUGAUUGAGUAUCCUCCAAACCAGCCAAGGUGAUGAGAUCUUGGGUAUACUUAUGUUGAUUCAAGAAAAUCCCAUUGGGUUGAGAAUGAACCUCCAAUCCCAAGAAGUAGGUGAGAUGACCAAGAUCUUUCAUAUGAAAAGAGUCAUGUAACAACUGCUGAAGCUUAGAAAUCAGAGCAACAUCAGUCCCAGUAAUGAGAAUGUCAUCCACAUAAACCAAGAGAAGAACCAUACCAGUGGAAGUUUUGUGGAAGAAGAGUGAGGCAUCAAACUGACUUUGUGUAAAAAAGAAGUUAAGCAGCGUACUGCGAAACUUUUCAAACCAAGCCCGGGGAGCCUGCUUCAGCCCAUACAAAGAACGCCUAAGCUUACAAACAUCAUUUGUAUAGGAGGUAGUCAUACCUGAAGGAAGCGUCAUAUAGAUAUCCUCCUUUAGGUCACCGUGAAGAAAAGCAUUUGUCACGUCCAUUUGGUAGAUCGGCCAAGAGUGAGAGGCUGCCAUGGCUAAAAUUGUGCGAACCGUGGUCAUUUUGGCAACAGGAGCAAAGGUCUCCUCAUAGUCGAUGCCAUAUUCCUGUUUGUUACCCAAAGCUACCAACCGAGCUUUGUAGCGAUCCAAAGAACCAUCAGAUUUCAAUUUAACAGAAUACACCCAUUUACUCCGAAGAGGUUUCACCGAAGAAGGACAAGACACAAUAUCCCAAGUGUGAUUCUCCUCAAGGGCGUGAAGUUCGGCUGCCAUUGCUUUCUGCCAACACUCAUGGUCCAUAGCCUGUUUAUAACAUGAUGGAAUGGAAAUAGAAGACAGUGUAGCUACAAGGGAGACAUGGGAUGAGAAACCAUACCGAUCAGGGGGUUUCAAAGGUCUGGUAGUGCGGCGAAGAGGGACUGGAUCAACCACUGAGUCUGAGGCAGAAUCAGGUUCCGUUGCAAGAUCGUGAGGAGGCCUAGAGGGAUCUGGAGGAAAACCAGAUAUUGUCCGAGGACGUCUCUCAUACACAAAACCAGGUUUAAACCUUUCUAUAUGCGCAGGGGAAUCAAAAUUAUGCAAAACAGAUAAGGAUGGAGACGGCGGCUCAACAUGAUUUUGAAAAAAAUACUGAUUUUCAAAGAAGAUUACAUUCCUAGAGACACGAAUCCUACGUGCACAAGGAUCAUAACAAAGAUAACCCUUUUGAUUUGUAGCAUAACCCAAAAAAGCACACUGGACAGAUUGAGCGCUAAGUUUAGUGCGUUCAGGAGCAGGAAGAUGUACAAAACAUACGCAACCAAACGUAUGAAGGUGAGAGUAAUGAGGAGAAUGUUUAAACAAAAGAUAGAAUGGUGAAGCAUUAUUGAGAGUAGGGGAAGGUAGCCUAUUGAUUAAAUGGACAGCAGUGGAAAGAGCUUCACACCAAAAACGAGAUGGGACAGAGGACUCAAGGAGCAAGCUUCUUACCACAUCUAGAAGAUGACGAUUCUUUCGCUCGGCAACACCAUUUUGUUGUGGAGUGAACGGACAAGAACGCUGAGAGAGAAUUCCUUUGCUUUGAAGAAGUGCCUGAAAUUUGGUAGACAUGUAUUCUCCCCCAGAAUCAGAACGAAAGACUUUAAUUCUGGCAGAAAAUUGAGUCUCUAGAAGAGCAACAAAGGUCUGAAAAACAGUAAAGACUUCAUCCUUAGAGCGAAGAAAAUAAAUCCAAGUAAAUCGGCUAUAAUCAUCUAUGAAAGUAACAAAGUAUUUGUAGUUAGCGUGGGAAACAACAGGGGAAAUCCCCCAAACAUCACUAUGAAUGAUCUCAAAACAGUGAGUUGCCCGAGAUGCAUGAGUUGGAAAAGUCAAAACUUUACUUUUACCCAGCUUGCAAGCCGUACAAUCGAAUUGAACAUCAUUAAGAGAAGAGGAAUCUUUAGUGCCUAGUAGACCAGAAUUGAACAAAGUGCGGAGUACAUGAGAAUUAGGGUGGCCAAGACAUCUAUGCCACCUUUGAUAAUCAGGUCUAACAGCAUUACAAGUAACAAAAGAAGGAGAUGCAACAAAAAAAGGUGGAGGUGUGGUGUGAAGAGGAAAGAGUCGUCCCACUUUAGGCCCCUUCGCGAUCAUUUUCCCGGAUACCUGAUCCUGCACAACACAACCAGCAGGAGAGAAAGUAACAUUGCAGUUAUUGUCAACUAAUUGACCAAUAGAAAUAAGAUUGGUAGUUAAGCUAGGAGACACAAAUACAUCAGUUAAGGAGGGAGAAAUAUCACCAACAGCCGUGAUAGGCAAAGAAGUCCCAUCGGCUGUGUGAAUAUCAAGAGGACCAGCAUACUUUUUCACAUUGGUAAGAGGAACAACACUGUUUGUCAUGUGAUUAGAGGCUGCAGAAUCAAAAAACCAGGGCAGAGAAGAGAUGAUUUUGUUACCUGAGAUCCCUAAGGCAGAAAAGGCAGAAACUAUGAUCUGUUGUACCAUUUCAGGAGUGAGAGAAGGCUGAUGUGGAGGAGCAGAAGGAAUGACCGGAGAGGCAGAACUUGAGGCACCAACUGAAGUAUGGAAAACACUCUCGUGUUUCUUGGGAGGCCGAGUGGGACAAUCUGAUAUGAUAUGCCCUGAUUUCUUACAAUAAUUGCAGAAUUUUCGUGAACAGUUUGUUGCAAUAUGACCAAAACCUUUGCAGCUAUAGCACUGUACAUUGCUCAUGUCACGGCCUUUCAACUUCCCUUGGGCUGCAUAAGCCACAGGUAUAGGGUUACGCGCAUGAUCUUGCUGGGUCAUGGCAGUUUGAGUGAAAAGGCGUUGUUCCUCACGAAGAAGCUCAUUAAAACAAGCAUCCAACGAGGGUACUGGAUCACGGUUCAUCAGAUUAGAACGUGCAGUGUCAAAAUCAGAUCUGAGCUUCAUCAAGAACUGAUCCCGCUUGCUGAUUUCAUGCACAGCUUGGACAGCAGCAAGUGCAUUAGGAGGAACAUUAGCAUAAACGAUAUCAGAGUAUUCAGUCCAUAGAUUUUGGAAAUCAGAAAAAUAUGCUUCAAUAGAGAGACUGCCAUGUGUGAAAUUUGCCAUCUCAUACUCCAGUUGAAAUCUCCUAGCUGUAUUACCUUGAUUAUAGACCCUUUUCAUGUAAUUCCACAUGUCCUUGGCAGUUUUAUACGGCCUCAGAUUAAGAAUAAUAUGAGGUUCAACCNNNNNNNNNNNNNNNNNNNNNNNNNNNNNNNNNNNNNNNNNNNNNNNNNNNNNNNNNNNNNNNNNNNNNNNUGUCUUCAGGGGCUGAAUCACUCCCAUCAAGAUGACCCCACAAUUCUUUCCCUUUGACAAAUAAUUGGAAUUGAAAUGCCCACGCCGAGUAAUUUUUCCCAGUAAAACGAACACAAAAAAAUUCUGACUUUUCAGAAUUCAUGAUGUAACCAGCAAGAAUGAGUCACAAGCUAGGUGGCAGGACAGAGAAGGACGCCAAUAUAACAAGACCAGCAAAUACCUGAACAAGUUUUCUCACUUUGGGAUCACAAGUGCUGCGCAAGACAAGAACAAAACUCCAAGACACUAGGGGAUAUUUUGCCUCGAUUGUAAUGUUGAGGCUCUAAUACCAAGUUAAAGCACACAAUAGUUUUAGAGAGCCAAAAACAGCCUACCUCUCCUUUGGGAGUUGUACAUUAUAUAGAAGUUUACAAGCCUAAUAAUUAGGGAUUUACAGCUAGGGUACAGAUAGCUAGGGUACAGAUAUGUAAUUUGCCAAAUAAGUAAAGAAUAUAUUUAGUAAUAAUAUAAAACCUAUUUAUAUUCCUAUAUUACUAUCAGCAGCUGGCCCUGAUUUUGUGCCAUAGAUUACUAUUAGAUUACUUCUAGCUUUAGAGUAUUUGGAUGUAGAUGUUUCAUUUUAAACAAUAGCAAGGAGGAUUUGAGUAAAUUUGAUGCCAAGUCAGAUGAAGGUAUCUUCUUAGGAUACUCUACAUCUAGCAGGGCAUACAGAGUGUUCAACAAAAGAACUCUAGUAGUUUAAGAGUCAAUUAGUAUCAUUUUUGAUGAGUCUGAUAGUGAGUCUCCUAGGAGAGAAAAUACUCUUGAUGAUGAUGCAGGAAUUAUUGACUUUGAAAAAUUGAAUCUUGAUGACGUGCCAAAUCAAGAAAAGAAAAAUGAUCGUGUGCCACCACAAUCUCAAGACUUGCCAACGGAAUGGAGGUAUGCAUAUGGACACCCUAAAGACUUAAUCAUUGGUGAUCCAUCUCAAGGGGUAAGAACUCGAUCCUCUCUUAGAAAUUUAAAUGACUAUCUUGCUUUUGUUUCACAAAUAGAACCUAAGACUUAUGAAGAAGCUGAAAAAGACAUAAAUUGGAUAAAUGCUAGGCAAGAAGAAUUAAAUCAAUUCAAAAGAAGUAAUGUAUAGACAUUAACUGAGAGACCAAAGCAUAACUCUAUAAUUGGAACAAAAUGGAUCUUUAGUAAUAAGUUAGAUGAAAAUGGGGUAGUUAUAAGAAAUAAAGCUAGACUUGUAGCUAAGGGAUACAAUCAAGAAGAAGGGAUAGAUUUUGAGGAAACAUUUGCUCCCGUGGCCAGAUUAGAAGCUAUUAGAUUACUUCUAGCUUUUGCAUGCUUCAUGGAUUUCAAAUUAUAUCAAAUGGAUGUAAAAAGUGCCUUCUUAAAUGGUUAUAUAGA